Molecule: non-coding RNA, 24 nt
Filed under: Arabidopsis thaliana (thale cress)
Lineage: Eukaryota; Viridiplantae; Streptophyta; Magnoliopsida; Brassicales; Brassicaceae
Source: RNAcentral
GCGGAUGAACAGUGAGAUAUGCUG